UACAGAGGGUGCGAACGUUGUUCGGAUUUACUGGGCGUAAAGCGCGUGUAGGCGGUCGGGCAAGUCGGAUGUGAAAGCCCAGGGCUCAACCCUGGAAGUGCACUCGAUACUGCUCGGCUAGAGUCCCGGAGAGGAUGGUGGAACUCUCGGUGUAGAGGUGAAAUUCGUAGAUAUCGAGAAGAACACCGGUGGCGAAGGCGGCCAUCUGGACGGUGACUGACGCUGAGACGCGAAAGCGUGGGGAGCAAACAGG
RNAcentral lists this ribosomal RNA (253 nucleotides) under uncultured bacterium. RNAcentral describes it as "partial 16S ribosomal RNA". It matches the Rfam family "Bacterial small subunit ribosomal RNA", at positions 524 to 776 of the family's 1533-position model. The record is from RNAcentral.